Molecule: ribosomal RNA, 512 nt
Filed under: uncultured Diversispora
Lineage: Eukaryota; Fungi; Glomeromycota; Glomeromycetes; Diversisporales; Diversisporaceae
Description: SSU rRNA
Rfam family: Eukaryotic small subunit ribosomal RNA
Source: RNAcentral
AGCAGCCGCGGUAAUUCCAGCUCCAAUAGCGUAUAUUAAAGUUGUUGCAGUUAAAAAGCUCGUAGUUGAACCUCGGGGUCUACCCAUUGGUCAGGCUUAAUUGUCUGCACUGGUGAGAUGGAUCUCUACCUUCUGAGGAACUUUCAUGCCAUUUAUUUGGUGUGAUGGGAAAUCAGGACUGUUACUUUGAAAAAAUUAGAGUGUUUAAAGCAGACUAUCGUCUGAAUACAUUAGCAUGGAAUAAUGAAAUAGGACGGACUGAUUCUAUUUCGUUGGUUUCUAGGAUCACCGUAAUGAUUAAUAGGGAUAGUUGGGGGCAUUGGUAUUCAAUUGUCAGAGGUGAAAUUCUUGGAUUUAUUGAAGACUAACUACUGCAAAAGCAUUUGCCAAGGAUGUUUUCAUUAAUCAAAGAACGAAAGUUAGGGGAUCGAAGACGAUCAGAUACCGUCGUAGUCUUAACCAUAAAUAUGCCGACUAGGGAUCGACGAAGUUAAUUUUAUAAUGACGCGUUC